RNAcentral lists this small nuclear RNA (144 nucleotides) under Canis lupus familiaris (dog). RNAcentral describes it as "U4 spliceosomal RNA (multiple genes)". It matches the Rfam family "U4 spliceosomal RNA". Rfam says of the family: U4 small nuclear RNA (U4 snRNA) is a component of the major U2-dependent spliceosome. The structure of U4 snRNA from yeast and human has been reported. RNAcentral also lists the same sequence under 1 other name. The record is from Rfam by way of RNAcentral. Lineage: Eukaryota; Metazoa; Chordata; Mammalia; Carnivora; Canidae.
AGCUUUGCACAGUGGCAAUAUCAUAGCCAAUGAGGUUUAUCCAAGGCACGAUUAUUGCUAAUUCAAAUAACAACAACAACAAAAAAACAAUUUAAUGCCUACGACAUUAUUAGAAGAUGCUAAUAUUUAUAACAUAUAGCAAUG